RNAcentral lists this ribosomal RNA (258 nucleotides) under uncultured bacterium. RNAcentral describes it as "partial 16S ribosomal RNA". It matches the Rfam family "Bacterial small subunit ribosomal RNA", at positions 793 to 1050 of the family's 1533-position model. The record is from RNAcentral.
GUCCACGCCGUAAACGAUGUCUACUAGUUGUCGGGGGACUUGAUCCUUUGGUAACGAAGCUAACGCGAUAAGUAGACCGCCUGGGGAGUACGGCCGCAAGGUUAAAACUCAAAUGAAUUGACGGGGGCCCGCACAAGCGGUGGAGCAUGUGGUUUAAUUCGAAGCAACGCGAAGAACCUUACCUACUCUUGACAUCCUGCGAACUUGGUAGAGAUACCUUGGUGCCUUCGGGAGCGCAGUGACAGGUGCUGCAUGGCU